GGCGAACCGGGGGAACUGAAACAUCUAAGUACCCCGAGGAAAAGAAAUCAACCGAGAUUCCGAAAGUAGCGGCGAGCGAAAUUGGACUAGCCCUUAAGCUUUACACGCGUUAGACGAACGGUCUGGAAAGUCCGACGAUACAGGGUGAUAGUCCCGUAGUUGACGACGUGUGUUCAGUGAAAUCGAGUAGGGCGGGACACGUGAUAUCCUGUCUGAAUAUGGGGGGACCAUCCUCCAAGGCUAAAUACUACUGACUGACCGAUAGUGAACCAGUACCGUGAGGGAAAGGCGAAAAGAACCCCUGUGAGGGGAGUGAAAUAGAACCUGAAACCGUGUACGUACAAGCAGUAGGAGCAGGCUUUGUCCUGUGACUGCGUACCUUUUGUAUAAUGGGUCAGCGACUUAUAUUCAGUGGCAAGGUUAACCAUCUAGGGGAGCCGUAGGGAAACCGAGUCUUAACUGGGCGUUCAGUCUCUGGAUAUAGACCCGAAACCAGGUGAUCUAGCCAUGGGCAGGUUGAAGGUUGAGUAACAUCAACUGGAGGACCGAACCGACUAAUGUUGAAAAAUUAGCGGAUGACUUGUGGCUAGGGGUGAAAGGCCAAUCAAACCUGGAGAUAGCUGGUUCUCCCCGAAAGCUAUUUAGGUAGCGCCUCGGACGAAUACUACUGGGGGUAGAGCACUGUUAAGGCUAGGGGGUCAUCCCGACUUACCAACCCUUUGCAAACUCCGAAUACCAGUAAGUACUAUCCGGGAGACACACGGCGGGUGCUAACGUCCGUCGUGGAGAGGGAAACAACCCAGACCGCCAGCUAAGGUCCCAAAUUACUACUAAGUGGGAAACGAUGUGGGAAGGCUCAGACAGCCAGGAUGUUGGCUUAGAAGCAGCCAUCAUUUAAAGAAAGCGUAAUAGCUCACUGGUCGAGUCGGCCUGCGCGGAAGAUGUAACGGGGCUAAGUAGUAAACCGAAGCUGCGGCAAUGUGCUUUUGCACAUUGGGUAGGGGAGCGUUCUGUAAGCGGUUGAAGGUGUGUGGUAACGCAUGCUGGACGUAUCAGAAGUGCGAAUGCUGACAUGAGUAACGAUAAAGGGGGUGAAAAACCUCCUCGCCGGAAGACCAAGGGUUCCUGUCCAACGUUAAUCGGGGCAGGGUAAGUCGACCCCUAAGGCGAGGCCGAAAGGCGUAGUCGAUGGGAAACGGGUUAAUAUUCCCGUACUUCUUACAAUUGCGAUGGGGGGACGGAGAAGGCUAGGUGGGCCUGGCGACGGUUGUCCAGGUUCAAGUGCGUAGGCUUAAGAGUUAGGUAAAUCCGGCUCUUUUUAAGGCUGAGACACGACGUCGAGCAUCUACGGAUGUGAAGUCAUUGAUGCCAUGCUUCCAGGAAAAGCCUCUAAGCUUCAGAUUGUAAGGAAUCGUACCCCAAACCGACACAGGUGGUCGGGUAGAGAAUACCAAGGCGCUUGAGAGAACUCGGGUGAAGGAACUAGGCAAAAUGGUACCGUAACUUCGGGAGAAGGUACGCUCUCGACGGUGAAGUCCCUCGCGGAUGGAGCUAUUGAGAGUCGCAGAUACCAGGUGGCUGCAACUGUUUAUUAAAAACACAGCACUGUGCAAAAUCGUAAGAUGACGUAUACGGUGUGACGCCUGCCCGGUGCCGGAAGGUUAAUUGAUGGGGUUAGACUUCGGUCGAAGCUCUUGAUCGAAGCCCCGGUAAACGGCGGCCGUAACUAUAACGGUCCUAAGGUAGCGAAAUUCCUUGUCGGGUAAGUUCCGACCUGCACGAAUGGCGUAAUGAUGGCCACGCUGUCUCCACCCGAGACUCAGUGAAAUUGAAAUCGCUGUGAAGAUGCAGUGUACCCGCGGCUAGACGGAAAGACCCCGUGAACCUUUACUACAGCUUGGCACUGAACAUUGACCCUACAUGUGUAGGAUAGGUGGGAGGCUUUGAAGCACGUACGCCAGUAUGUGUGGAGCCGUCCUUGAAAUACCACCCUUGUAGUGUUGAUGUUCUAACGUCGACCCCUUAUCGGGGUUGCGGACAGUGCCUGGUGGGUAGUUUGACUGGGGCGGUCUCCUCCCAAAGAGUAACGGAGGAGCACGAAGGUGGGCUAAUCACGGUUGGACAUCGUGAGGUUAGUGCAAUGGCAUAAGCCCGCUUGACUGCGAGAAUGACAAUUCGAGCAGGUGCGAAAGCAGGUCAUAGUGAUCCGGUGGUUCUGAAUGGAAGGGCCAUCGCUCAACGGAUAAAAGGUACUCCGGGGAUAACAGGCUGAUACCGCCCAAGAGUUCAUAUCGACGGCGGUGUUUGGCACCUCGAUGUCGGCUCAUCACAUCCUGGGGCUGAAGUCGGUCCCAAGGGUAUGGCUGUUCGCCAUUUAAAGUGGUACGCGAGCUGGGUUUAGAACGUCGUGAGACAGUUCGGUCCCUAUCUGCCGUGGGCGUUGGAAGAUUGAAGGGGGCUGCUCCUAGUACGAGAGGACCGGAGUGGACGAACCUCUGGUGUUCGGGUUGUGUCGCCAGACGCAUUGCCCGGUAGCUAAGUUCGGAAUCGAUAACCGCUGAAAGCAUCUAAGCGGGAAGCGAGCCCUGAGAUGAGUCUUCCCUGAUACUUUAAGUAUCCUAAAGGGUUGUCGGAGACUACGACGUUGAUAGGUCAGGUGUGUAAGUGCUGUGAGGCAUUGAGCUAACUGAUACUAAUUGCCCGUGAGGCUUAACCAU
This 2717-nucleotide ribosomal RNA is filed under the name Vibrio parahaemolyticus. Its description in RNAcentral is "partial 23S ribosomal RNA". It matches the Rfam family "Bacterial large subunit ribosomal RNA". The record is from RNAcentral. Lineage: Bacteria; Pseudomonadati; Pseudomonadota; Gammaproteobacteria; Vibrionales; Vibrionaceae.